UUUGGUCUUGUAAGCCAAAGGAUGAAGAUCGUCUCUUCUUAGAGUU
RNAcentral lists this transfer RNA (46 nucleotides) under Psittaculirostris edwardsii (Edward's fig-parrot). RNAcentral's name for it is "partial tRNA-Thr". Lineage: Eukaryota; Metazoa; Chordata; Aves; Psittaciformes; Psittacidae. The record is from RNAcentral.